CGUGUCGUGAGAUGUUGGGUUAAGUCCCGUAACGAGCGCAACCCUUGUCCUUAGUUACCAGCACGUUAUGGUGGGCACUCUAAGGAGACUGCCGGUGACAAACCGGAGGAAGGUGGGGAUGACGUCAAGUCAUCAUGGCCCUUACGGCCUGGGCUACACACGUGCUACAAUGGUCGGUACAGAGGGUUGCCAAGCCGCGAGGUGGAGCUAAUCUCACAAAACCGAUCGUAGUCCGGAUCGCAGUCUGCAACUCGACUGCGUGAAGUCGGAAUCGCUAGUAAUCGCGAAUCAGAAUGUCGCGGUGAAUACGUUCCCGGGCCUUGUACACACCGCCCGUCACACCAUGGGAGUGGGUUGCACCAGAAGUAGCUAGUCUAACCUUCGGGAGGACGGUUACCACGGUGUGAUUCAUGACUGGGGU
Molecule: ribosomal RNA, 421 nt
Filed under: uncultured bacterium
Lineage: Bacteria
Description: bacterial SSU rRNA
Rfam family: Bacterial small subunit ribosomal RNA
Source: RNAcentral